UUUAAAGGUAUGUAUUUUUGGGAAAUGUCCCCAAAUGAAAUCAUACGAUAAUAUGAUAUUGUAGAGAAGGUAGAUAGGGGAGGGAUCGGACGAUUUCCGUUUGAACAGCGGAGCGGCGCGGCGCCUGGUCAGUAACCAACGAUUAAUUAUAGGAAUUGGAAAAAGCCAAGUCUGUUGCAGGUUUGCAACCAAACACAAGAACACUACAAACACGAUUCCUGCGAGUCAUCGAGCCGCGGAAAACGUCGUUUAGGAUUUGGUGGGAAUGGUUAAAACCAAGCACCAAAAGUCCAACUCUAAGCGACAACCCCAAAACAAAAAGCCUGGAAAGGCAGCUGAUAUUUCUCAGUUUCGUGCUCAGCUUGACUUAUUGGGCCUCCAAAUUGUUCAAGUGACUGCAGAUGGUAAUUGCUUUUUCAGGGGCCUUGCAGAUCAGUUAGAUGGUGAUCAAGAGGAACAUGAAAAGUAUCGGAAGAUGGUUGUGCAGUAUAUUUUGAAGAACCGUGAAAUGUUUGAGCCAUUCAUUGAGGAUGAUGUCCCAUUUGAUGAAUAUUGUGACUCCAUGGAAAAGGAUGGUACCUGGGCUGGACAUCUCGAAUUGCAGGCUGCUUCUCUUGUUACUCAUAGUAAUAUAUGCAUUCACCGGAUGUCAUCACCACGUUGGUACAUACGAAAUUUUGACGAUCGAGAAGCUCGUAUGGUCCACUUGUCUUAUCACGAUGAGGAACAUUACAAUAGUGUGCGGUUGAAGGAAGACACGUGUGCUGGUCCAGCCAGGCCAAUCAUAAUCAAAGGUGAUGCUGUUCCUUCAGCAAAUUCACUUCAAGCAAAAGUUCUCGCCUCUAAUUUUCAAAAGAGAGGCGAAAGUGCUAUAAGUCCUGGAAUUGUCAAAGUAGUUAUGGCAGGUAGUGGUUGUGAAAAUUCUAGAAAAGUUGAAAAGGUUUUGGUACAAGUCAGUGGUGAUGUUGAUGCUGCAAUAGAGUUUCUCAUAGCAGAACAAGCGGCAGAAGAAAACGAAGAGCCAACUGAAUCAUCUAUGCGCCAUAUGGAUUCCUCAUUCGGUGUUGAUGAAAAAAGGAACGAUGAGCAAUUGGAAGAACAAACAGAAGAGAAUCACAAUAAAAUUGAUUCGUGUAGCAACAGCACUAAACAUUCUAAUUGUAGCAGUUCUCAAUCAGAUGACAAGAAGAUCCCAAGGAAUAAAGUCUGCCCAUGUGGUUCAAAAAAGAAAUAUAAAGCUUGCUGCGGAUCAGUUGCUGCGAGUUCAUCUGGAACAAGACUAUUGACUCUAAGAAAUCUAGGAAGGAAAGGAAGAUGGGCAAGAAGGGUGGACCUGCUAAAGUUGAAGUGUCCUCUGGAUCUGAUGGAUUGCCACAUGACUUGGGAGCACUUUGUAUUUGAUCUUCAUCUGGCCCAGGAGACAUUUUAGCUGCAGAUUAAAGAGAGUUUGGAAUCGCAGGGAUAGGAGUUCUUGGGCAUUGUGAAUAUCCACAUGCGGAUGACCCAAUUUUCUGCGCAGGGCUUCCUCAUUAUGUUUCAAAGAGUUGCUCUUACAAUAACCGUAAUUUAUAUUGUACUGAUGUCUUCAAAUUCCGGAUAGAUGAUGAUGUGAUCCAUGAUUGCUUGGUGGUGGGAUUUUCCCCAUACAAUAUACCGGUGGUUGUGGGGAAACUGAAGAGUGAUGGUUUUCCCCUCUACAUCUAUGCAAGGCCGGAUUUUUGCAGAAGCCCACUGAACUUGAAGUGCGAGUAUAGAUUUAGAAGCAGUAGCUCGCAUAGAUGAACUUGUGCUGCCAAUCAUAUUACAAGAUGGAAACCGUGGACAGAAACUACAAUGUAGGGGUGGAGAACACAGUGCCAAACAGUUACAAUAUGUUAUUCCCCUUCACAACAAAUAAUACUCAGUCAUAGUUGUGAGUCAACCAAUGUCAUCGGCGAGCUCUGAGAUCUCGACAUGUUCGAUGAAUAUACAGCCUACAGGUCAGGUUGAGAAGCUUUUGGUAGGCAAUGGGGAGGGACCUUAAAAUCAACCAUGUUGAUCUAGCUACCAUUUGCUCCACCUACAAUAAAGUUGUUCUAAACAACAUACGUCACAUGUCCUUCGAAAAGAACCUCAUUAAUGUUGCUAAGUUAGACAAGAAAAUGAUGUCUGUAUUUUAAUUGACAACACUCUAUGUGUCGUGCAGGGCACAUGGUAAAUCGUCCUCCUCUUCAAGGACGCCUUUCAUUUAUAGGGGCUUGUAUAGUCGUACUACUAACUAUGCUACUCGAGGACAAUUUAAUAAAUCCUACUACUUACCCCUCUAUAUCCUCA
Molecule: non-coding RNA, 2313 nt
Organism: Momordica charantia (bitter melon)
Lineage: Eukaryota; Viridiplantae; Streptophyta; Magnoliopsida; Cucurbitales; Cucurbitaceae
Source: RefSeq, a predicted model, not a curated record